GCGAGCAGCGAAGGCCAGCUCGAGCCGACGCCAGAGCUGCGGGUUCGAGAGGCUCCGCCUUCUUCGGCCACUUCGAGCCACUAGCGCCUCCGGGAACUUUUCCAGUCUGUCUUAGGCUGCGGUCACUGCUGAGGUUUUCAGAACUUUGCAGGAGAGGGCCCGCUAGGACCUCUGCCUUCAACCCACGCCUUGCCUGCCGCCUGCCUGGGACAUCCCCGAGUCCAGGAGAUCCCGCUCCCCGACGCCCCAACUUUUCCCGAACGGUCUGCGCUCCCAGACUGCCGAGCUCCUGUGCCAAGAGGCGUGCUGGUUUUCGGGGGCCGGCAACGCUCUCUCCCUCGGCUCGCCUUCCACCUUCCCCCGCGUGGGGCUGGGUGAGUCGGGAUCUGCGGUGCACUUGAGCGAUCCCAGAGCUCCGGAUUCGCUCCCGCCCCGGAGACGCCCUUCCAGGAGGGACUGAACCCGAGCGGUCCCGACCUCUUACUCCGAAACUCGAAUCGGCCCGGGUCUUUACCCUCCGAACUCCAGUGCCGUCGCGGAUCGGCCGGCGGAGCGUCCGGGCGCUCGAGACUUCGUGGCCUGUCGGGGGCUGCGCGUACCAUGGCCGGCUGCUGCUGCCUGUCCGCGGAGGAGAAGGAGUCGCAGCGCAUCAGCGCCGAGAUCGAGCGGCAGCUUCGCCGGGACAAGAAGGACGCGCGCCGCGAGCUCAAGUUGCUGCUUCUGGGAACUGGUGAAAGUCGC
Odocoileus virginianus texanus is the source of this 741-nucleotide non-coding RNA. The record is from RefSeq and is a predicted model, not a curated record. NCBI's taxonomy places the organism in Eukaryota, Metazoa, Chordata, Mammalia, Artiodactyla, Cervidae.